AAGGAUCAUUAAUGAAUUCACUAUGGAGUUGUUGCUGGCCUCUAGGGGCAUGUGCACGCUUCACUAGUCUUUCAACCACCUGUGAACUUUUGAUAGAUCUGUGAAGUCGUCUUUCAAGUCGUUAGACUUGGUUUGCUGGGAUGUAAACGUCUCGGUGUGACUACGCAGUCUAUUUACUUAUAACACCCCAAAUGUAUGUCUACGAAUGUCAUUUAAAGGGCCUUGUGCCUAUAAACCAUAAUACAGCUUUCAACAACGGAUCUCUUGGCUCUCGCAUCGAUGAAGAACGCAGCGAAAUGCGAUAAGUAAUGUGAAUUGCAGAAUUCAGUGAAUCAUCGAAUCUUUGAACGCACCUUGCGCCCCUUGGUAUUCCGAGGGGCAUGCCUGUUUGAGUGUCAUUAAAUUCUCAAACUCACUCUGGUUUUUCCAAUUGUGAUGUUUGGAUUGUUGGGGGCUGCUGGCCUUGACAGGUCGGCUCCUCUUAAAUGCAUUAGCAGGACUUCUCAUUGCCUCUGCGCAUGAUGUGAUAAUUAUCACUCAUCAAUAGCACGCAUGAAUAGAGUCUGGCUCUCUAACCGUCCGCAAGGACAAUUUGACAAUUUGACCUCAAAUCAGGUAGGACUACCCGCUGAACUAA
Molecule: ribosomal RNA, 637 nt
Filed under: Pleurotus eryngii
Lineage: Eukaryota; Fungi; Basidiomycota; Agaricomycetes; Agaricales; Pleurotaceae
Description: eukaryotic LSU rRNA
Rfam family: 5.8S ribosomal RNA (bases 245-398)
Source: RNAcentral